UGCAGUCGACGGCAGCACAGUGGUAGCAAUACCAUGGGUGGCGAGUGGCGGACGGGUGAGUAAUGCAUCGGGACCUACCUGAACGUGGGGGAUAACGUAGGGAAACUUACGCUAAUACCGCAUACGUCCUACGGGAGAAAGCGGGGGACCUUCGGGCCUCGCGCGGUCAGACGGACCGAUGUUCGAUUAGCUAGUUGGUAGGGUAAUGGCCUACCAAGGCGACGAUCGAUAGCUGGUCUGAGAGGAUGAUCAGCCACACUGGAACUGAGACACGGUCCAGACUCCUACGGGAGGCAGCAGUGGGGAAUAUCGGACAAUGGGGGCAACCCUGAUCCAGCAAUGCCGCGUGUGUGAAGAAGGCCUUCGGGUUGUAAAGCACUUUCGGUGGGGACGAAAAGCUUGAGAUUAAUACCCUUAAGUAUUGACUUAACCCAAAGAAGAAGCACCGGCUAACUCUGUGCCAGCAGCCGCGGUAAUACAGAGGGUGCAAGCGUUAAUCGGAAUUACUGGGCG
Molecule: ribosomal RNA, 513 nt
Filed under: uncultured bacterium
Lineage: Bacteria
Description: bacterial SSU rRNA
Rfam family: Bacterial small subunit ribosomal RNA
Source: RNAcentral